GAUGAACGCUGGCGCCGUGCCUAAUACAUGCAAGUCGAGCGAACAGACGAGGAGCUUGCUCCUCUGACGUUAGCGGCGGAUGGGUGAGUAACACGUGGAUAACCUACCUAUAAGACUGGGAUAACUUCGGGAAACCGGAGCUAAUACCGGAUAAUAUAUUGAACCGCAUGGUUCAAUAGUGAAAGACGGUUUUGCUGUCACUUAUAGAUGGAUCCGCGCCGCAUUAGCUAGUUGGUAAGGUUACGGCUUACCAAGGCAACGAUGCGUAGCCGACCUGAGAGGGUGAUCGGCCACACUGGAACUGAGACACGGUCCAGACUCCUACGGGAGGCAGCAGUAGGGAAUCUUCCGCAAUGGGCGAAAGCCUGACGGAGCAACGCCGCGUGAGUGAUGAAGGUCUUCGGAUCGUAAAACUCUGUUAUUAGGGAAGAACAAAUGUGUAAGUAACUAUGCACGUCUUGACGGUACCUAAUCAGAAAGCCACGGCGAACUACGU
Molecule: ribosomal RNA, 496 nt
Filed under: uncultured bacterium
Lineage: Bacteria
Description: partial 16S ribosomal RNA
Rfam family: Bacterial small subunit ribosomal RNA
Source: RNAcentral